Molecule: ribosomal RNA, 274 nt
Filed under: uncultured bacterium
Lineage: Bacteria
Description: partial 16S ribosomal RNA
Rfam family: Bacterial small subunit ribosomal RNA
Source: RNAcentral
AUACGAACCGGACAAACGUUAUUCGGAAUUAUUGGGCUUAAAGGGUGCGUAGGCGGCGCGGUAAGUGAGGUGUGAAAGCCCACGGCUCAACCGUGGAAUUGCGCUUCAUACUGCCGUGCUAGAGGGAGACAGAGGUAAGCGGAACUGAUGGUGGAGCGGUGAAAUGCGUUGAUAUUAUCAGGAACACCGGUGGCGAAAGCGGCUUACUGGGUCUCUUCUGACGCUGAGGCACGAAAGCUAGGGUAGCGAACGGGAUUAGAUACCCCGGUAGUCC